UACAGAGGUCUCAAGCGUUGUUCGGAUUCAUUGGGCGUAAAGGGUGCGUAGGCGGCGCGGUAAGUCGGGUGUGAAAUCUCGGGGCUUAACUCCGAAACUGCAUUCGAUACUGCCGUGCUUGAGGACUGGAGAGGAGACUGGAAUUUACGGUGUAGCGGUGAAAUGCGUAGAUAUCAGGAGGAACACCGGUGGCGAAGGCGGAUCUCUGGGCCGAUACUGACGCUGAGGAGCGAAAGCGUGGGGAGCGAACAGG
RNAcentral lists this ribosomal RNA (253 nucleotides) under uncultured bacterium. RNAcentral's name for it is "partial 16S ribosomal RNA". It matches the Rfam family "Bacterial small subunit ribosomal RNA", at positions 524 to 776 of the family's 1533-position model. The record is from RNAcentral.